GAGGGUGGCCUGGCUGUGACAUCUGUCACCCCAUUGAUCGCCAGGGUGAUGCGGCUGAUGUGGCUGGCCAGCUUGGUCGAAGCGGACAACCUUC
This 94-nucleotide small RNA is filed under the name Jaculus jaculus (lesser Egyptian jerboa). RNAcentral's name for it is "7SK RNA (ENSJJAG00000009538.1)". The record is from RNAcentral. Lineage: Eukaryota; Metazoa; Chordata; Mammalia; Rodentia; Dipodidae.